Sapajus apella (tufted capuchin) is the source of this 3245-nucleotide long non-coding RNA. RefSeq lists it as uncharacterized. The record is from RefSeq and is a predicted model, not a curated record. Lineage: Eukaryota; Metazoa; Chordata; Mammalia; Primates; Cebidae. The transcript is spliced from 3 exons.
UAGACCUGGGGAUUGUGCAAAACAGGGAGGGGAAAUGAGAAUCCAGGACUCCUCCAUUCCCCUGAGUUAUUCCCUCUAGAUAUGCUUUGUAAAAAUGGCUUGUGUUUACUCAGCAUUUACUACAUGCGGGCAAGGCAUUUUGGAGACAUUUACUCCUUACGAUGUAGAUGGGAAAUCUGAAGCUCAAAGAGGUUGAGCAACUUGUCUAAGGCCACCCAGCUCCUAAGGCAUAGCAGGGACUGGAAGAUUCCAGGUGUGAACCCACAGCUCGGGCCAGUAGUCCACUGAGCUGUCCCCGGCCUCAUCCCCAGCCCCUGGACCCACCUAUGUAUGUGUCAUCACUGAGAGCCCAGGGGUGAGGGAUGGCAGUAGUUCCUCAGGGUCUCCCCCUGCCUGGAUUCCUUGAACCCCUCUCCGCCUCCUCUGAGCUGACUAGCAUCCUCUCUCCACCCAGUCCCUGCUUCUCCCAAUUUCAGGAUGCUCAUUGUUGGCUGAGUAAAGCUCAGCCUUAGAGCUAUAUGCACACGCACGCACACCCACUUGCACACACACACACACACUUGCACAUGCGAUGCGCACACACAUACUUGCACACACAGCCACACACGUUUCCCCCCAUUCUGUCUCCUGACUCUGCCCCUGCCAGCCUGGAUGGGGUACACACCCCUUGCCUCCUCCAAGGGUCAAAAUCCUACCUGGCUUUCAAGGGCUGGUUCUAAGUUCCCCUGCUCCUCCAAGGAGCCUGUCCUCAACCCCCAACCCGGUGCACAUUUGUGCUUUGUACCUGUCCAUGUGCCAUCACAGCCAACCUGGCCUUGUAUUCCUAACCAUUCAUUUAUUCAUUCACUUGUUCAACAAAUAUCAGCUAAGCCCCUCCACAGUGGCAGGCACCAGGCCAGGUGCACAUGAUAAAUGGGGGCAGGGUUACCAGGGUGCCUGCCCUCCUGGAGCCUCAAGUCCAGUGUCGGGGAGGGGGGGCACUCCAGGGAAACCUCCUUGAAAACAAGACCUGGGUGUUCUGGACUUUGGGGGGGUCUCUUUCCCCCACCACCCACCUUUCAUGGAUACUGAAACAGGCCUGAUACAUAACAGUUGCCAAGCAGCCCCAGCCAGAGAGACAGACUGGCUUCCUGCUCCUCUGUCUCCCAGUUCUUCUUCCCCCUGAACAGGAACCCCAGCUGGAUCCCCAUCCCUGGACCCGCAGGGGCGCAGGUGGGACGGCCCAUGAGAGGGGCUGCAGGACGGUGACCCAGGGCUGGGGGCGUGCGCGGAGUCAGCCAGGCAGGGUGGGGAGAAUGGAUGGGGACACGUUGCGAGCCCAAACCCUCCCGGCCAGUGGCCUCCCUAACCCCGCAGGGGCCGAGUUCUCCUCUCCAGCCCCGUGGAAUGCCCGCUCCCUGCCACGCCUCUUCCUCUUGGUUUGGGGGUUUCUCUCCUCGCCCUGCGCCCACGCUUUUCCUUCCCAGGAUCUGGCCCCUCCAGGGACCGCUCCCCGCUCUGUCGUGCCCCAAGCUAAGGCAGGAUCUGCUCCCGGGCUCAACCCUCACCGUCGCGGCUGCGCUCUGCGGUGGGGAGCGACCCCAGCUCCUGCCCGCCCCAGAGGCCAUGGCUGGUGUCGGUUGCCUUAGCGACGCCGAGGACGCAAAGGUCUCUUCCCACGCAUGCGUGGAGCCUCCCCUCCCCCUCCUCCCGCCUCGUGCUCCUGGGUGCUCCAUCUCUCUAUUCCCUCCUCUUACCUCCAUCGCGGACCUGGGGUCCCCAGGAGCCCUACCCCACCACCAGGAGGCCCAUCUCCUCCCGGGGAUGUCCACCUCCCGCCGCGCUGCUCCGGGCUUCCCUCCCUGAAUCUUGCCAGUCCCCAGAACUGGGGCUGGGUUGGUGCGGGGGAGGGAGGCGUGCCAUGUUUGUUGAGUGAAUAAGCAAGUGGCUGGGGAGGCUUGGUUUUCGGGUCCCAGAGCCGGAUUGACUCAGCUGAUGAGUUCAAGAGAAACAGAGACUUUUGUAGGAGGAGGCUGGGGGUUAGCAGAGGAUCUGCUCCCUGUCACUCUAUCAGAGAGAGGGGCUUCCUGCCAGCAAAGAGUGGUUUUUGGAGCAGACCAAGGAAGGAAACAUCGCCAGAAUUCAUGGAAUUGGCUGGGGGCUCUGGCUGGAAACACGUGGCCAGCUUCUGGCCUCUCUCCUUGCAGCUGUUUGCCCCCUGUUUCCUGGCCAAGGUGAACCACUGCUCCUCAGACAAGGAAACUCGUGGUGACUUCAGCACCGUGUCCCAGUACUGUCUCCCAUACUGGAAAAGUUACCGAAGCAUGCAUUCUUUUCACAGGAAGUUAGCGAAGUUAGUUCCUUGCUUAAGAACAGGUGAAAGGGGAGAUCUAUUUCUGCAGCUGUGAGCAUCCUAAGAUAGGGCCCCGGCAGCAGUCAAGGAAAAUCCAGACAGGAAGCUGGGAUUAGCACCCCGAGUCGAUUUUCCCCCACUCUCCAUGUCAGCUCCCCUCCUGGCAGUCCUGGAGUUAGAACCAGGAAGACGGUUCCUGCCUCCCCCUUUGCACCCUGGCCCCUGUCUCUAGGGGAGGGGGGCUUGGGCAGUGCUUUCCUGUCCCCAUGGGUCUUAUGUCUUCAAUAGCCAUCAACAGGCUGAGAUCCAGGCACCGGGGUCACAGUCCCCCAGUGAAUGGAACACAAAGGUGCCUCUCUCCGCCUCCACUCUCAAUCCAGGUAGAAAGAGAACCACCCACUUUGCUCAUCGUCAACCAACCUUGACCAAGGAAGCAUCUGCAUGUGCAAGGUGCCAUCUGAAUGCUGGAGACAUAAGCAGUGUGGUCACUGGUCCCAGCAUUGUUGGGAAGUGAAAAUGUAUCCAUGAAAAGAGAGCAGAAAGUGCUCUGUGGGAUCUCCUUCCAAAGAAACGACUGCUCCCCAAGACUUGUGUCACAGUUGGCUUUUGUAGGAAUCCCAACGAAGACAUCAGCUUCCUGCUCACUCCGCAUCUGCCUCCCGGCCACUGAAAACUCCUGGAAAAGGGACUUAAGUAGCUCUGUGAUACGUUUGCAUUCAGAGAUGUGAAAUACUGAAAUAGACAUUGAAGAGAAUGGGUUUGGGUGUACAAUGGUCCAUAGAUUCAACUGAGGGUAGACUGAAGGCAGGGAGCCCAGCAAAGAGGCUGCCACCCUUGUCCCUCUAAGGAAGGCUGCAGCAGGCUAGAGGUACUGUAGGAAACAGGAAGAGGUGAUCAUUCCAGAACCUCAGAA